GGCAUACGGCUCAGUAACACGUAGUCAACAUGCCCAGGGGACGUGGAUAACCUCGGGAAACUGAGGAUAAACCGCGAUAGGUCAUCACUUCUGGAAUGGGUAAUGACUUAAAUCUAUAUGGCCCCUGGAUUGGACUGCGGCCGAUCAGGCUGUUGGUGAGGUAAUGGCCCACCAAACCUGUAACCGGUACGGGCUCUGAGAGGAGGAGCCCGGAGAUGGGCACUGAGACAAGGGCCCAGGCCCUAUGGGGCGCAGCAGGCGCGAAACCUCUGCAAUAGGCGAAAGCUUGACAGGGUUACUCUGAGUGAUUUCCGUUUAGGAGAUCUUUUGGCAUCUCUAAAAAUGGUGCAGAAUAAGGGGUGGGCAAGUCUGGUGUCAGCCGCCGCGGUAAUACCAGCACCCCGAGUGGUCGGGACGUUUAUUGGGCCUAAAGCAUCCGUAGCCGGUUCUACAAGUCUUCCGUUAAAUCCACCUGCUUAACAGAUGGGCUGCGGAAGAUACUAUAGAGCUAGGAGGCGGGAGAGGCAAGCGGUACUCGAUGGGUAGGGGUAAAAUCCGUUGAUCCAUUGAAGACCACCAGUGGCGAAGGCGGCUUGCCAGAACGCGCUCGACGGUGAGGGAUGAAAGCUGGGGGAGCAAACCGGAUUAGAUACCCGGGUAGUCCCAGCUGUAAACGA
Molecule: ribosomal RNA, 677 nt
Filed under: uncultured Nitrososphaerota archaeon
Lineage: Archaea; Thermoproteati; Nitrososphaerota
Description: bacterial SSU rRNA
Rfam family: Archaeal small subunit ribosomal RNA
Source: RNAcentral